RNAcentral lists this non-coding RNA (102 nucleotides) under Notamacropus eugenii (tammar wallaby). Lineage: Eukaryota; Metazoa; Chordata; Mammalia; Diprotodontia; Macropodidae. The record is from RNAcentral.
UUGUUGUAUGAAAGGAAAGUAAAUCAGUACUCCUUUUGAUAAGGAUGGAAGAGCUCCUAGUGAUCAUUAUAUAUAUGUCAAGUCAAGUCAACAAGUAUUUAU